Non-coding RNA from Penaeus vannamei (Pacific white shrimp), 123 nucleotides. The record is from RefSeq and is a predicted model, not a curated record. Lineage: Eukaryota; Metazoa; Arthropoda; Malacostraca; Decapoda; Penaeidae.
CACCACGGGGGUCACCACGGGGGUCACCACGGAGGCCAUCACGGAGGGCAUCACGGUCAUCAUGGUUGAUUCAGCAGCGACUUCCGUUUGCCAGCAUGACAAAUAAAACUUUUCUGAAGAUUU